AGUUUUGUUCUAGAACAGUUUUUGUUCUUUCAUUUGAGAUAAUUUGAAUAAGAAGGAUCAAAGGAUUGGGAAAGGAAAAGUAAAAUAUUUGGCAGAAUAAAAAUGUUUUUUUUGGUAAUGAAGCCUUUAGAAAACUAAAGUUAAAUGAAAAAACUGAAGUAGAACUAAACUCUUACGUCUUAGGAGAACUUAGAUACAUAUGUGUCAGAGUCUGACUGUAUUUAUAUUCUAAACACACAUAUGAUCACACAACAUACAUACAGAGACUAUUUGUAUAACUGUAAAUAGAUGUGACGUAUGUAUAACUUAAAAAUCUUUUGAUAGGUCACAGUCGAACUGUUAUUGGAAUUGAAGAGAAAAAAAACCGAACAUUAUGCUUACUAAUACUUGAUCCUGGAUGUCCUUCUCGAGAAAUGCAGAAAUUAUUAAAGCAAGACAUAGAGGCUAGCAGUCUCAAGCAACUUCGGAAAUCUAUGGGAAAUUUAAAACAUAAGCAAUACCAGAUAUUGGCAGUAGAGGGUGCUCUUUCUCUAGAGGAGAAACUUGCCAGGAGACAAGCUUCUCAAGUCUUUACAGCCGAGAAGAUUCCUUGAAGAAUCAAGCAUUUAAGCAUUUCAGUGAUUGAGAACAAUACUUUGUUUUCUAAAUGUAGAUAUUGAACUCCUUAAUACAAUUAUGAAUCUGUGAAUUCUCUUAAGUCUUAACAUAUAAUUUAAUUUCUAAAAUGCCUGUGUUAAUUGAAUUAUACCUAUCAUACUUCAUUGUUUGGUAAAUUAUUUCAAUAAAAUGUCUUGUUUUUGCAUUGUG
This 807-nucleotide long non-coding RNA is filed under the name Homo sapiens (human). Its description in RNAcentral is "non-protein coding lnc-ZUFSP-2:1". The record is from RNAcentral. Lineage: Eukaryota; Metazoa; Chordata; Mammalia; Primates; Hominidae.